RNAcentral lists this ribosomal RNA (498 nucleotides) under uncultured bacterium. RNAcentral's name for it is "partial 16S ribosomal RNA". It matches the Rfam family "Bacterial small subunit ribosomal RNA", at positions 30 to 523 of the family's 1533-position model. The record is from RNAcentral.
AUUGAACGCUGGCGGCAUGCCUUACACAUGCAAGUCGAACGGUAACAGGUCUUCGGAUGCUGACGAGUGGCGAACGGGUGAGUAAUACAUCGGAACGUGCCUAGUAGUGGGGGAUAACUACUCGAAAGAGUGGCUAAUACCGCAUGAGAUCUACGGAUGAAAGCAGGGGAUCGCAAGACCUUGUGCUACUAGAGCGGCCGAUGGCAGAUUAGGUAGUUGGUGGGAUAAAAGCUUACCAAGCCGACGAUCUGUAGCUGGUCUGAGAGGACGAUCAGCCAAAAUGGGACUGAGAAACGGCCCAGACUCCUACGGGAGGCAGCAGUGGGGAAUCUUGGACAAUGGGCGCAAGCCUGAUCCAGCAAUGCCGCGUGCAGGAUGAAGGCCUUCGGGUUGUAAACUGCUUUUGUACGGAACGAAAAGCCCCGGGUUAAUACCCUGGGGUCAUGACGGUACCGUAAGAAUAAGCACCGGCUAACUACGUGCCAGCCGCCGCAGUAA